CUGCCGCAAGGCCACCUCGUCUCUGGCAUCAAGGGACUCGACGCUUAGGGCUUCCACGGGCUUCUUCCCUUUGAGAGUCGCUAGGAAACAUUGCCGUGCGGUCGGUUGGUCACCUCGGACCUCUCCGAUCCCAGCCGCCGUGGGGAAACGCAUGAGCAAGUGGUACGUAGAGACCACCGCACGAAGGGCGUUCAGUCCAGGUCGUCCGAGGAUAGCGUUGUAGGCCGAGGGAACACGGACAACCAAGAAUCCGAGUCGCACCGUGGCUUCUGCGGGUGCAACGCCCGCAGUCACAGGCAGCUCAACGACUCCUUCGGCCGGGACAGCGUCACCAGUGAAUCC
RNAcentral lists this long non-coding RNA (342 nucleotides) under Phoenix dactylifera (date palm). RNAcentral describes it as "long non-coding RNA (PDAC_LNC017669)". Lineage: Eukaryota; Viridiplantae; Streptophyta; Magnoliopsida; Arecales; Arecaceae. The record is from RNAcentral.